RNAcentral lists this ribosomal RNA (324 nucleotides) under uncultured eukaryote. Its description in RNAcentral is "partial 18S ribosomal RNA". It matches the Rfam family "Eukaryotic small subunit ribosomal RNA", at positions 1470 to 1796 of the family's 1831-position model. The record is from RNAcentral.
CCCUUAGAUGUUCUGGGCCGCACGCGCGCUACCCUGAUGCAUUCAACGAGUUUCUUCCUGGUCCGAGAGGAAUGGGUAACCUUUUGAAAGUGCAUCGUGAUAGGGAUAGACUAUUGCAAUUAUUGGUCUUCAACGAGGAAUUCCUAGUAGACGUAGUUCAUCAGACUGCAUCGAUUACGUCCCUGCCCUUUGUACACACCGCCCGUCGCUCCUACCGAUUGAAUGCUCAGGUGAGCCAUUCGGACUUUCAUCAUGCUGGUUUCCAGUUUUGAUGAAGGAAAGUCUUGCGAACCUUAUCAUUUAGAGGAAGGAGAAGUCGUAACA